GGAAGGUUGAGAUGGCUGUUAAGGCUGGAAUGCAGUUCCAAGAAGAGAGCUGUUCAAGCUGGACCAUAGUCCACCAGAGGUCUGGAAAGUGGUGACAAGAAUAAAAUCGGUACUUGAAGACAGUUUUGAAAAGGAGAAGGAAGAAAAAAAACAUAUCAUAAUGGUGUUUUAUUGCCACUCAAAUGAAGAAAGGAAAAGUCAAAAGAAGGAGAAUGCAGAGGGUUAUGAAGAAUUUCUUAUUCCAAAUGAUGCCAUUGUCUCAUCUGGGUCGGGCCCAGUGGCAGAAUGUUCUGCAUCCUCUCCCCAAAAUUGAGAGCAGUAGUUAUUUUGUUUUUUGUAAUGAGAUCAAAUAGUAUACCAUCAUAUGAGAAUGUUUGGGCAUUUUUGAAUCAAAUGUAAUAAAAAUAUUAAGUGAAAAUUA
Molecule: long non-coding RNA, 421 nt
Filed under: Mus musculus (house mouse)
Lineage: Eukaryota; Metazoa; Chordata; Mammalia; Rodentia; Muridae
Description: RIKEN cDNA 4931400O07 gene, transcript variant 2 (4931400O07Rik)
Source: RNAcentral